GACGAACGCUGGCGGCGUGCCUAAUACAUGCAAGUCGAACGCUUCUUUCCUCCCGAGUGCUUGCACUCAAUUGGAAAGAGGAGUGGCGGACGGGUGAGUAACACGUGGGUAACCUACCCAUCAGAGGGGGAUAACACUUGGAAACAGGUGCUAAUACCGCAUAACAAUUUAUGCCGCAUGGCAUAAGAGUGAAAGGCGCUUUCGGGUGUCGCUGAUGGAUGGACCCGCGGUGCAUUAGCUAGUUGGUGAGGUAACGGCUCACCAAGGCCACGAUGCAUAGCCGACCUGAGAGGGUGAUCGGCCACACUGGGACUGAGACACGGCCCAGACUCCUACGGGAGGCAGCAGUAGGGAAUCUUCGGCAAUGGACGAAAGUCUGACCGAGCAACGCCGCGUGAGUGAAGAAGGUUUUCGGAUCGUAAAACUCUGUUGUUAGAGAAGAACAAGGACGUUAGUAACUGAACG
This 465-nucleotide ribosomal RNA is filed under the name Enterococcus faecalis. RNAcentral's name for it is "bacterial SSU rRNA". It matches the Rfam family "Bacterial small subunit ribosomal RNA", at positions 28 to 474 of the family's 1533-position model. The record is from RNAcentral. Lineage: Bacteria; Bacillati; Bacillota; Bacilli; Lactobacillales; Enterococcaceae.